RNAcentral lists this ribosomal RNA (2903 nucleotides) under Escherichia coli. RNAcentral describes it as "23S ribosomal RNA". It matches the Rfam family "Bacterial large subunit ribosomal RNA". The record is from RNAcentral. Lineage: Bacteria; Pseudomonadati; Pseudomonadota; Gammaproteobacteria; Enterobacterales; Enterobacteriaceae.
UUAAGCGACUAAGCGUACACGGUGGAUGCCCUGGCAGUCAGAGGCGAUGAAGGACGUGCUAAUCUGCGAUAAGCGUCGGUAAGGUGAUAUGAACCGUUAUAACCGGCGAUUUCCGAAUGGGGAAACCCAGUGUGAUUCGUCACACUAUCAUUAACUGAAUCCAUAGGUUAAUGAGGCGAACCGGGGGAACUGAAACAUCUAAGUACCCCGAGGAAAAGAAAUCAACCGAGAUUCCCCCAGUAGCGGCGAGCGAACGGGGAGCAGCCCAGAGCCUGAAUCAGUGUGUGUGUUAGUGGAAGCGUCUGGAAAGGCGCGCGAUACAGGGUGACAGCCCCGUACACAAAAAUGCACAUGCUGUGAGCUCGAUGAGUAGGGCGGGACACGUGGUAUCCUGUCUGAAUAUGGGGGGACCAUCCUCCAAGGCUAAAUACUCCUGACUGACCGAUAGUGAACCAGUACCGUGAGGGAAAGGCGAAAAGAACCCCGGCGAGGGGAGUGAAAAAGAACCUGAAACCGUGUACGUACAAGCAGUGGGAGCACGCUUAGGCGUGUGACUGCGUACCUUUUGUAUAAUGGGUCAGCGACUUAUAUUCUGUAGCAAGGUUAACCGAAUAGGGGAGCCGAAGGGAAACCGAGUCUUAACUGGGCGUUAAGUUGCAGGGUAUAGACCCGAAACCCGGUGAUCUAGCCAUGGGCAGGUUGAAGGUUGGGUAACACUAACUGGAGGACCGAACCGACUAAUGUUGAAAAAUUAGCGGAUGACUUGUGGCUGGGGGUGAAAGGCCAAUCAAACCGGGAGAUAGCUGGUUCUCCCCGAAAGCUAUUUAGGUAGCGCCUCGUGAAUUCAUCUCCGGGGGUAGAGCACUGUUUCGGCAAGGGGGUCAUCCCGACUUACCAACCCGAUGCAAACUGCGAAUACCGGAGAAUGUUAUCACGGGAGACACACGGCGGGUGCUAACGUCCGUCGUGAAGAGGGAAACAACCCAGACCGCCAGCUAAGGUCCCAAAGUCAUGGUUAAGUGGGAAACGAUGUGGGAAGGCCCAGACAGCCAGGAUGUUGGCUUAGAAGCAGCCAUCAUUUAAAGAAAGCGUAAUAGCUCACUGGUCGAGUCGGCCUGCGCGGAAGAUGUAACGGGGCUAAACCAUGCACCGAAGCUGCGGCAGCGACGCUUAUGCGUUGUUGGGUAGGGGAGCGUUCUGUAAGCCUGCGAAGGUGUGCUGUGAGGCAUGCUGGAGGUAUCAGAAGUGCGAAUGCUGACAUAAGUAACGAUAAAGCGGGUGAAAAGCCCGCUCGCCGGAAGACCAAGGGUUCCUGUCCAACGUUAAUCGGGGCAGGGUGAGUCGACCCCUAAGGCGAGGCCGAAAGGCGUAGUCGAUGGGAAACAGGUUAAUAUUCCUGUACUUGGUGUUACUGCGAAGGGGGGACGGAGAAGGCUAUGUUGGCCGGGCGACGGUUGUCCCGGUUUAAGCGUGUAGGCUGGUUUUCCAGGCAAAUCCGGAAAAUCAAGGCUGAGGCGUGAUGACGAGGCACUACGGUGCUGAAGCAACAAAUGCCCUGCUUCCAGGAAAAGCCUCUAAGCAUCAGGUAACAUCAAAUCGUACCCCAAACCGACACAGGUGGUCAGGUAGAGAAUACCAAGGCGCUUGAGAGAACUCGGGUGAAGGAACUAGGCAAAAUGGUGCCGUAACUUCGGGAGAAGGCACGCUGAUAUGUAGGUGAAGUCCCUCGCGGAUGGAGCUGAAAUCAGUCGAAGAUACCAGCUGGCUGCAACUGUUUAUUAAAAACACAGCACUGUGCAAACACGAAAGUGGACGUAUACGGUGUGACGCCUGCCCGGUGCCGGAAGGUUAAUUGAUGGGGUUAGCCGCAAGGCGAAGCUCUUGAUCGAAGCCCCGGUAAACGGCGGCCGUAACUAUAACGGUCCUAAGGUAGCGAAAUUCCUUGUCGGGUAAGUUCCGACCUGCACGAAUGGCGUAAUGAUGGCCAGGCUGUCUCCACCCGAGACUCAGUGAAAUUGAACUCGCUGUGAAGAUGCAGUGUACCCGCGGCAAGACGGAAAGACCCCGUGAACCUUUACUAUAGCUUGACACUGAACAUUGAGCCUUGAUGUGUAGGAUAGGUGGGAGGCUUUGAAGUGUGGACGCCAGUCUGCAUGGAGCCGACCUUGAAAUACCACCCUUUAAUGUUUGAUGUUCUAACGUGGACCCGUGAUCCGGGUUGCGGACAGUGUCUGGUGGGUAGUUUGACUGGGGCGGUCUCCUCCUAAAGAGUAACGGAGGAGCACGAAGGUUGGCUAAUCCUGGUCGGACAUCAGGAGGUUAGUGCAAUGGCAUAAGCCAGCUUGACUGCGAGCGUGACGGCGCGAGCAGGUGCGAAAGCAGGUCAUAGUGAUCCGGUGGUUCUGAAUGGAAGGGCCAUCGCUCAACGGAUAAAAGGUACUCCGGGGAUAACAGGCUGAUACCGCCCAAGAGUUCAUAUCGACGGCGGUGUUUGGCACCUCGAUGUCGGCUCAUCACAUCCUGGGGCUGAAGUAGGUCCCAAGGGUAUGGCUGUUCGCCAUUUAAAGUGGUACGCGAGCUGGGUUUAGAACGUCGUGAGACAGUUCGGUCCCUAUCUGCCGUGGGCGCUGGAGAACUGAGGGGGGCUGCUCCUAGUACGAGAGGACCGGAGUGGACGCAUCACUGGUGUUCGGGUUGUCAUGCCAAUGGCACUGCCCGGUAGCUAAAUGCGGAAGAGAUAAGUGCUGAAAGCAUCUAAGCACGAAACUUGCCCCGAGAUGAGUUCUCCCUGACCCUUUAAGGGUCCUGAAGGAACGUUGAAGACGACGACGUUGAUAGGCCGGGUGUGUAAGCGCAGCGAUGCGUUGAGCUAACCGGUACUAAUGAACCGUGAGGCUUAACCU